GAUAUUCUCAAAUCAAGUUCUCAUUUCUGCCUCUGGCAUCUCACUGCAACAGUACCAGACAUUGAUAUAGUCUCGAUAACUUUCAAAAGCUUUCUUUGUACAUCGUCGGGUCGGAUCUGUGCAAUUAUUUUGUGGGUUUAAAAAUGCUUCUCUACCUAAAUGUAAGCUCCUAGAGGGAAGAACUUUGUCUAUCUUGCCUACUUUUGUAUCUUCAGAAUUCAGAAACGUGUCUGAAACAUUAAAUGGAUAAACACAGGAAAAAUCUCACAUUUUGAAAGGUCAGAGAAGUUUCAAUUGACUACUUAUGGAAGAAGUGGAGGAAAGUGAGGAUCUCCAGAACUUACAAAAGGCUAGUGGCUCUGUAUGGCAAGGAAGAACCACCACCAAACAGUUUGAUGUACAGAGUUGGAGAUGAACAAAUUUUGUACUGAGAGAAGGAUGGAGAUAGUGUAUAUAAAAGAAAUACAAGGCCUCCCUUUGUCUGUUCAGACAAGCUUGGCUUGGAAAAGCUAAACUCAUAAAUAGAUGCUUAUUUAUUAAAUUCUCUUACAAUU
This is a long non-coding RNA of Homo sapiens (human), 554 nucleotides long. The record is from Ensembl. Lineage: Eukaryota; Metazoa; Chordata; Mammalia; Primates; Hominidae.